UCCUCUAAAAUGGUUGGCAUUUGAUAGCCGGAUCCUGUAUCGACGUUGAUGCACCUGAAAAAUGGUGAUAAAUUCAAUAUGGUGUAUUACUACAGCUGGGCUUGUUUGGGCUGAUGUUAUAUAAAGAGCAAAUAUUAGAGCCCAUUUAGGAUAGUGGGCUACUUUUCAAGCAAAGGCCGCUUGAAGGAGUUUCAUGGUUUGACCAAUUUCAUUCAGACGGCGGUGGUGCUCCUCUUGAAGGGCGAUGUCAAGCAAUCCGCCUCCAGGUCGGAAUUAGACUUUGAUUUCUGGAUCUCAAAACAGUAAAAGAGUGCUCUUUUGAUUCAACAACUAAAUUUAAAUGAUUCAAUGGGCAGCGGAGUCCAGCAAGACACCAAAUGAGAUAGGUUCCAGGGAAACCCAAAGACAAGGACGGGUGUGUGUACAAUUCACGCAUUGCUCAGUUUAAUAAAGUAAAAAAGGGCUUUGGUCUGAAAGCAGCAUUCUUUUGCGCCAGUUUCAUUCAUCUAAACCCACCCAAGAUACAUCGGUAUGCAUAAGAAAAAUGAAAACAAUAAAAAGAUAACUAAAAGGGAGGGAAGAUGUGCAUCUGGGUCAAGAUGUGGUGGAAGUUAUCGGAGGGUGUAUCAACGGGGUGGGUAUGAACUCCUUGGUAAGUGGUAACCACCACUCCUUCAUCUCCUGAUAGCCUCUGCACUUGCUUCUUCACUCUGCAUCCUUUUUCUGUGCACUUAUAAUAGCUCCUACACGCAUUAUUUUAGUAUUUAUCAUGCACCAACCAAAUAAAAGCAGCAUAUAUAUGUAGUAGCCUAGUAGGUACCUGGGGAAUGGAUUGUUCUUGACAGCUUUUUGGCCGUACUUCCUCCACCUGUAUCCGUCAUCGAGAAUAUCAACCUGACUUCUUGUCUGGAAAGCAAACCUGGCUUCUCUCUCUUUCUUCUUACUCUUGUGUUUCUCUUCUUUGUUAGUGUUAUGCUGCUGUAACGAGGAGGACGUGUUGAUCUGAGUUUGAUCACCAGACAAGCGAUGAUCAACCGAUGAAGAUGGAAACAACACCUGACAUGACCUAUCCUCCAUUUCUUGCUCCCCUCUGCCUUCUGUGGAGAGAAAGAAUCAAUGUUUUUGAACUUGUAAAUUCCAAAAAAGACUAGUAGGCCAGGUCACGUGUCUUUGACUAUGUGUGAAAGGUUAGAGAGGCGUAGACGGCAACGAAGACGCGAGCGAUAACAAAAAGAAAGAAAGAAAGAAGAGAAAGUGAGAUGGGCUAGAUUAGCGGAUUAAAGAGUUUGGUGGAAAGUAUAAAGAAAAGGUGUGGCGGCUUCAUCAUUCUGAUUAUGACUACUUACUUGCAAUAAUUCAAAGUUCUGGUGCAACGGAUUCAAAUAUCUUUUGGGCCUGUAUACUAUCGAACUUUUUGGUUUCCCUUGAUCUACAUUUUUAUAUAUUUUCAUCACUUGAGAGUA
Molecule: long non-coding RNA, 1463 nt
Organism: Brassica napus (rape)
Lineage: Eukaryota; Viridiplantae; Streptophyta; Magnoliopsida; Brassicales; Brassicaceae
Exons: 2
Source: RefSeq, a predicted model, not a curated record